CUUGCUCUUUCUUUUUUUUAAAAAAUAGAAAUUGAUCUUAAAGAAGCACAAAGAUUUUUUGCUCAGAAAUUCUCCUGUGGUGCCUCAGUAACAGGGGAGGAUGAAAUUAUCAUUCAGGGAGAUUUUACAGAUGACAUAAUUGAUGUCAUUCAGGAAAAAUGGCCAGAGGUAGAUGAUGACAGCAUCGAAGAUCUUGGAGAAGUGAAGAAGUGAAUUUGAAAAUUUGUAUUUAAUGGCCUGAACUGAGAGUUGAUACGGCCAAAGGGAGAGAGGCCUUUAAAAAUAUAUAUAGAUAUAUAUAUAUUUAUUCUACAGUGAAACUGUAGACUGCCCUCGUCCUUGGCAUUUUCACUGUUCUGUACAAGGCUGCUUGUUUUUUUAUUGCCAAAGUCAAAUAAACAGGGGAGACUGUCAUUGCUCAUACAUGAAUAGAUUUAGUCAAAUAAAAAAUUCUGGUCAUUUGGUACUGA
Cebus imitator (Panamanian white-faced capuchin) is the source of this 470-nucleotide long non-coding RNA. RefSeq lists it as uncharacterized. NCBI's taxonomy places the organism in Eukaryota, Metazoa, Chordata, Mammalia, Primates, Cebidae. The transcript has 2 exons. The record is from RefSeq and is a predicted model, not a curated record.